CAAAAAUGGCGGACCAAAAGAAAGUAACAUAAUUAUAAAUAAAAUUAAUAAUGUAUUUAGCUUCUGCUAUCACGACCACGGUCGAAGAAUAAUUACACAACAACAAAAUGGCUGCUGGAACAGCCGUUAAAGCAUUUUUCACCUUUAUUUUCGACACAGUACACUGCGCCGGUAUCAGUGGCAGGGACAAUGGAUUUGGUAACAAUUACGUUUGGGCUGGAUCUUUAGAAUCGGGUCUCCAGAUAGCCACACACCACAGAAAACCAGUAAUGGUGAUCAUCCACAAAUCGUGGUGCACAGCCUGUAGAAAUUUGAAGCCGAAAUUCGCCAACUCUCCAGAAAUACAAACGUUAAGCAAACACUUUGUCAUGGUCAAUUUGCUUGAUGAAGAGGAACCGAAAAAUAAUGUAUUUGCUCCAGACGGGACGUACAUACCAAGAAUUCUGUUCAUUUCACCAAAAGGUAGUGUGGACCCCGAAAUAGUGAACGAGGAGGGCAGUAGUCAACACAAAUACUUCUACAGCAAACCAGAACAAAUUGCUAAAUCCAUGAGAAAAGUACUCGACAAAUAUACUGAGGAACAAUUCGAUGUAUGACGAGUUAAUUUGUAGAAAAUUGUAACAAGAGAUGAAAAUGUCAAAGUCUACAUUUAAAUGAUAUGCGGCGUUAAAUCGACAAUAUAUUUGGCAAACUGUGAUAAUGAUAUAAAUAUGAUGACACUGUAAUUUGUACUAAUAAAAAGCUGU
Spodoptera litura is the source of this 746-nucleotide non-coding RNA. The record is from RefSeq and is a predicted model, not a curated record. NCBI's taxonomy places the organism in Eukaryota, Metazoa, Arthropoda, Insecta, Lepidoptera, Noctuidae.